This is a long non-coding RNA of Pipra filicauda (Wire-tailed manakin), 1586 nucleotides long. RefSeq lists it as uncharacterized. NCBI's taxonomy places the organism in Eukaryota, Metazoa, Chordata, Aves, Passeriformes, Pipridae. The transcript is spliced from 3 exons. The record is from RefSeq and is a predicted model, not a curated record.
AAACUGUUUCUCUAAGUCAGUAAAACACACUGAUGUGAAUCUCAUCUAAAUUCAAUAUUUUUGCUUUCAGAGUGCUGUAUUUUCCUGGAAAAUUAUGGUGCAUCACAAGCUAUUAGUUUUUGUUCUGUCUGUGUGCAGUGAAUAAACCAGCAUAGGCUAUGUUUACUUCAGCAAGUCACUCAGAGCAGCAGGAGUAGACUGAUAGCUGUAAACAGCAGGAGCUGAGGUUCCUCACAUCUCCAGUAUAUCCUCACACAGAAAUUACUUUGCAUCAGGCCAUUGGACCCAUUAAAGAAGACGAUGUUUGCUCCUUCACUUCUUGCAUUGUAGAUACAAGCAAAAAGACUAUCCACCUUGAUCCUGAAACUGUUAUUCUACCCCACUAGGAACUUCAGGAAUGAACUUACUAACUUUAGUGGGGCAAGAACCUAAAGAAUCUGUUAAGGAAAGCAGGAAUCACUGAAGCAAAGAAGGAUCCACAUCAGGCAUUCUGUCCUUUGACAACAAGAAAAUACCAGCAUCUCUUUUGCAAUGUGGAAUUUCUGCUGUACCAGUACAAGACUUCAGAGAGAAAAUAUCUGGCAAAAGGAAAAGUGAAAAGCCUUGUCUCAAAGCUUCCAUUUUAUAUAUUACACAAUUUAACUUCUCUGACCAAGGAAGGUGGUGACUGCCAACUCUUCUUCCCUGAGAGCCAGAAGGAAUAGCAGAGCAUAGAGGUAGUCAGUACACAUUUUAAUGUACUGCUGUCUCAUGCACUCUGGACCAUCAAGAGAAAAACUGUGUGUUACUUGUAAGGCUUCCACUCUAGUGAAUCUCAUCUGUUUGGCUCUCCUCCUAAUAAUACCAACCAGCACCCCGCAAACAUGUUCAUACUGUAUUAGAAUAUAACAAUUUUGUAAAUGUGGAAAAGAGACACAUUUUUUGAAGUCAAUGACUGCAGCUAGCAAAAGCCACCUCAUACACUGCAGACCACUUGUGCAAGUCAAGGCCUUUUCAUCAGAGAAUACCUUUAUUUCAUGAACUGAUAUGAAGCUGAAUUUUUUUUUCCACCUUGCAUGUCCUCAGUCACUGGCAUUUUUCAUGUGACAAAGCAAAUGCUAAUUCUCUAUGGGCUGUAAGGGAAAACAGCUGCUAGUUAUAAUGGGGGUUUUGAGAGCACUUGGUCAACCAAACUGCAUAGGUUUAAGUACCUCCAGACUGUAUUACAUCUGUCAAAGCAGCAGCAAAUACAACAUAAAAUGUAGAGUAGGUCCCAUUUUUAGUGUGUCAGUAGAAUCAGCCUGCAGUUAUUUUUAACUGCCUUGGAAAGCUUAGCAGGCAGAUACAGUUAAUCCUUUAAAGGAUUUGCAGGUAUUCAUAGCUUAAUAAGUAAGCAUAGUGGAUUAAACCAAUAGAAGAUUGUAGACAGUCAAAGACAACCAUUACAUGCUAACAUUCAAAAAAUAAAAAGAACAGUUUCUUUUGUAUACUUUUUUUCCUGACAAUUGCUCUCAAUUGUCAGUAUGGGCCAGAAUCCCAUACAGUGAUGAAAUAAAAACGUUAAUUAGAGUCAUUAAAGUCAACAUGUGUGAUAUUUAAAUCAUCAG